This 4344-nucleotide long non-coding RNA is filed under the name Panax ginseng (ginseng). Its description in RNAcentral is "long non-coding RNA (PGIN_LNC005424)". The record is from RNAcentral. Lineage: Eukaryota; Viridiplantae; Streptophyta; Magnoliopsida; Apiales; Araliaceae.
CAAGGUGGAUGUGUAGGGGCCAACUAGAGGCCAAUGGGACUGCCUGGAAGGGGAGAGAACUCAGCAUAUAGUUGGCUCUUCAAACCCUCAAGGAGCAAAGCAGUUUAUUCAAGCAAGAAAAAGAAAUCAGUGGCACAUUUAGAGGGAAAGAAGAGAGCACCAGCUGGAAAGAAAGGGAAGAUUGAGUAGCCCAAGACCUUUAUUCCUUAAGCUAGCAAGGUAAGCAUUACAUUCCAAUUCCAUUUCCAUUUUUAUUAGUAAGCCAACUGUUAGUGAUCGGAUGAAUUGGUUGACUGCUAUAGGCCGGAUUGACACUGCUAGGUGGACUGCUAUAUUGUGUUGUCAUUGAUGUUGGAACUGCUAUGUUGAUGUGUUGUUCUUGUUGUUGUUUUAAUGUCAUAAGGCUUGAACAAAAUGGCUAAAAAUGUACUCCCUCCGUCCCAGGAUAAAAGUCCUUAUUACUAUUUUGAGUUGUCCCAUGUUAAAUGUCUACUUUCUUUUAAUAACCAAACUUUACAUAUUUUUUCCUAUUAUGCCCGUAGCAUUAAAUAUUUCAUACUUUUCUUAUUCUAAUUCUCUCUCCAUAUUUAAUGACAUUAUUAUGGGCAAUUUUGUCAUUUUAUUCUUCUUAAUAUGCGUGAAAAGUCCAUCAGGACUUUUAUCCUGGGACGGAGGGAGUAUUUACUAUAUGUAAGUAUAAAGAUUUCCCACCAACUAUUCGAUUAAAUGCUAAAGUCAGGACUGAUUUGGGGUAACUAAGUAUCAACUGUGCAGGCAAGAACAAAGGCCUUAUUAUCAUGCUAAUAAUCAAGCAAAGACAUGUAAGAUUAUAUACUAUAAAUAAUAAGGCAGGUUGAGUGUAACUUGCAUACUAAGAUAGUUUCAUAUAUGAGUUAAACUAAUUAAAAAGUAACUGUGUUAACAAGCUAUUUACGGAUUGAUUUCCCUUGACCUUAAUGUGAUUUACAUGUUAAAUCAAGGUUUCUAAAGAACCAAACCAUGGAUGCAAAUAAUAAUAAAACCUAAUCGGAAUUUUCAUCAAGCUUGAAACCAAAAUAAGCCAAGUUUGGACCUGUUUUGAACAUGUCAAACUCUGCCACUAUUUUAACUGCCAUGAUAUGACAUUAACCAACUAAAUGACUUGCUAAUAAACUAAGAGAAUUGACUGUUUGAGCAGUCCUAGUAAUUUUAUGAAAGAUGUUGUGCAAAUCAGUCCAUAAUAGCAUUAGCUUGAUUUUUGUGGUAUUACUAGUUCAUGUGUUAAAACUUAAAGUUAAGAGGAGGCUGUUUUGAUCAAAUGAAUAAAGUCUUUAAUCUGCUAGUUUUUAAGCCAUGUGUAUUGAUUAUAUAGCAUGUGUAUGAAGUAAAAAUCCAUACAACUUGAGCUUUUGAAUACUUGGGACUGUUAUGGUAGAGUAUAACUAAUUCAUGGUUAUAAAACCUAGUAAGGAUUGUUUUAUUAUUAGAAACUGAACUAACUUUUACAAGCAUGCUAAUGUAUAUGGUAUUAAGUUUUAAUGAUGCUUUAAAGUUUGUUUGAGGGCUUAAAGGUCCCUUGAGUCCUAAGGUGGGACUAUUUGUGAAUAAAUGCCAAAAUAAUGCUUAAAAUCCUAAAAAUAGGAACUGUUUUAGCUACUGAGGUUAUUAGAUAGCAUGAUGUACUUACAAUGUUCAUAAAUAUCAUUUAAAAGUUGUUCCUUAACUUAGUUGAGGUUCACGGUGAAUGUUACUCAAUUUUCAUGUCUAAAAUCAUAAAAAGUAAGCUUUAUGAUAGCAAUAAACACCAAAAUUAAACACCACCAUACCUGGGUCAUAUAGGCAUGUUUCAAUAGUUAUAAUAUAGCAUAAGUGGGCUACAUAAGCCAAAGAAGCCAAGUCUAAAUUGUUUUGAGCCUUAGACUUGUUAAAAAUCACAUUUUUAAGCCAAAAGAGUUUUGUUUUGGGUGAUCCUCAACACCUGAACAUAUAAGCCUGUAAUAAACCCAUAUAAAGAUGCUAAUGCAUGCUUAUAAUGGUUUUCAAUCAUUGUCAAGACAAAAACUAGCAAGAAAACCAAGUUAGGAUCUAUUUUCAAGCCUAAAGUGAACUUUGAUAAGUCAAACUUGGCUAAGUGAUUAAAUAAAGCAUGAUGAUGAUGAAAUUAGCCUUAAACUUAAAUACGCAUGCCUAAACUAUCCUAGUGGCCAAAAGUGGAAAAUUUUGGAAAUAGUUCAAAAACAGUUUUUGUAUGAAAGUGAGAAAAUUGCCCAGUUAGAGCCCUGUUUUGGGAAGCCUAAUUGACAUGAAUAAGAAAAAUAAAACUUGAUUAAAAUAACUUGAUGUAUGGUCUAGAAGUAGGACCAAAUGGUUGAACCAAUAACUUAACCCAUAAAUUCAAACAAAUCACCAAACUAGCCUAUAAAAUCAACAAAACUGUAGAUUCUGCAGAUUUUUUCAAGUGUAAAAUUGAGGUUUUGCUAUUUUACUUAAAAAUCAGUUUUAACACCUUAGGCAAGUGAUUUAGAUAUAUGCUAGGAUAUUCCAAGUGUUGGAAUGCUAAGGUAUACAAGAACUUGAGAAAUUAGUAAGUAAAAACUUGAAAAAACUAGGUUUAGAGGGUCAAAACCAAAUCUAUGCUUAGCAAAGUCAAGAAAAUGCUAAAACUAGUCUUAACUAGUAAUAAUUCAAGUGUUGAACCCAAGAGGCCAGAAAUGAAAAUGGCAAGAAUUCACCAAAGUUGGUAAAAGCUAAAACUGUGAUAAACAACCUAGUUUGAGCAUCAGUUUCAAGAAGCAUAAAAGGCUUACUUGAGAAACCAAACUAAUACAAAAAUACCUUGGUAUACAGUCUAGAAAUAUGCCCAGAGUUCAUGUCUAAAGCCUAAUACAAAAAUUUAUAAAAAUCAUCAAAGUAACCUUGAAAAUCAUAAAAACUACAGAUUUUGCUAAGAAAAGGUGUAAAACAGCCCAUUUGGGGCCUGUUAUUGAUUGCUUAAGCUUAAUAGUUUUAAAGACCUAAACCAGGAAUAACAUACUUUGUUUAUGAGGUCUAUGAGAUGGCACAAUUAGGAGAUUCAAAAGCUUACUAUAAAACUACUUAAAAUCUCCAAACGUACCUCAAAAAUCAUAUUUUUGUGUUUUUGAGUUAUGUUACAAAAGUAAAGUUUAAAGCUUAUAAGUGUCUUAUCAUGACUAAAUGAGAUAAUAAAGAUGUUUUAUGAUCUAAUAUCUAUAUCAUGAUAUGUUGAGACUGAAACUUGUAUGUUUUGGAUGUAUGAAAGUUAUAUGUGUUAUAUGUCUACGUGAACUAAUUAAGUAAAAGUACUAUAUGUAUCCUAAGCUGUGAAAAUGUGUUGUGGCAAAGCUAAGUGCCUAUGUGUGCUUAACUGUAGAAUAAAAGUUAUCUAUAGAACUGUUAAUGUUAGUAAGUAGCUUAUCUGAUCAUUAUUGAAUAUAACUUUAAUAACCAUAGUUGAGCUAAUAUAAACUUUAUGCUAAAAGAUAACUAAGUAAUUCAAUACUGGAUAUAUGUAAGUUACUCAGUGGUAAAGCACUUUCUUAAAAAGUUUAAUCGACGUGAGAGACAAGUACAUCAACCUUCCUUACUCAAUUAAGCUUAUAUUGCAAGUACUUAACUCGAAGGCUUAUCUUUUCAAGUUAUUGAAAUUAUUGAACUGCAAUACUUUAAAUUCAUUUAUUCUUAUGAUAUUGAAAGUAUGUCAAUGUCAUUAUUUCGGCUAGACAACUGUUGAGAUAUACUGAUAUUAUUCAUUCAUGAAAAUCUCAUUUAAUGUUCUCAAAACCAUUUUGUUUUGGUGCACUCUUAUAUAAUGAUGUGAACGAACAACCCUUUUAUAGGGGCAUAUGAUACUGGACAUGAUUCUGAAGGACAUGUAAUGUGUCAUUUGACUGUUAUGUUGUGCACAAUGUAGGGUACUUAAGAUGAUCCCCUAAAGUACAAGUCUAGGAUAUACUUCAGUUUUAAUAAUUGUUUGUAUCCAUGGAUUGCAGUUUUAGUACAAAGUUCACCGGUCAUUUGACCUUACAGCAUGCUAAAGUUUGAUUCUUUAAACUCAAAUCUUAUAAAGAACUGUUUUGCUCAGUAUCUCUUGAUUUUAUUUUUCUUAUUGUAAAUAUUCUUAUUCCAUUAUAUUCAACUGUUUUUUUCCUUACGUACUGAGCAAGCGUUUGCUCACCCUUGCGUUGAAUAUAAUUUUUUUCAGUUAAAACUGAAAACACUGGUACCUCAGGGAAAGAUAAGGAAAAAGGCAAAUUUGCAGAAUAAGUUGUUAUUAAGCGCAGGUGCUUAUAUGAACUUAAUGAGUUAUUGUAAAAAGUACCUUAUUAUUAUUGUCUUGUAUUAUUA